This is a long non-coding RNA of Gopherus flavomarginatus (Mexican gopher tortoise), 5677 nucleotides long. RefSeq lists it as uncharacterized. The transcript has 3 exons. NCBI's taxonomy places the organism in Eukaryota, Metazoa, Chordata, Testudines, Testudinidae. The record is from RefSeq and is a predicted model, not a curated record.
CAAUGGUGGGGGCUGAGUUCACGGCGGGGCGCUGGCCGGUAGUCGCCGCUCCCGCUGCCCCCGAGCGGGGCUGACAGCCGCCUGCGGAGCCUUGGGCAGUGGAGCCGGGAUCCCGAGGCAACGGCCCCCGGAUGCGCUCCGAUUUCUGCAGCUGUCAGAGGCCGGGUCCGCCGGCAGCCGAUGGGGGAGGGGGUGAUAAAUCACCCUGUUCCCCAGGAAUGGCCGUUCCUGCGGCACCUCAUUAGUGCCCCCAUCCCUUCGCUGGCGCGGCUGCCUCCCUGCGCAGCGGUUCUGCCUGCCCCCGUGGGGGCCUGCUGCCAGGGGUGGCGUCGCAGCAGCGAGGAUCUAGUUCAAAGAGCAACUGACCCGUUUUAAAACUAACAAGACUGGCUUGAGCCCCCACCCAGAAUUGUUGGGAUCACACAGUACUUGCCACCUUCCCCAAAGCACUGAGGUUGUGUAGAAAACAAAUCUUUAUUAAAAGAAAAAGAAAAGUGUAUUGGUGUAAAUAAGUAAAAUAUGCACUGGAGGUAACUUUGGCAGUAGUCUGUGUAACUCAGUUCCACACCCAAGGCUGCGAAUGUUCCCUUUACCACCCAUUGUUUCCCUGUCCCCAUCUACUAAACUAUACUCAUCAUUUGGCGUCAGUGAGUAGCAUUAUCCCAUCACGCGAACAUGCACUGUGGCAUGGUACCCUUCCAGUGCUUUCGGAAAUGCUUCCUUGUCCCAUCCUGAGGCUCCACUAAUUAAAUCAUCUUUUAUCUUUAUUUAGGACAAAACUAUCCAGCUUUGCUGACAAUAAAACCACCCCAACAAGAGGCAUAGAGCAUUUUGUGGCAAACUUAGAUUGACAAAGUAUCAACACAGACACUCUUCUUGGUUAUGCUGUUGUAAAUGGCUCCCACUGCGUCCCACAAUGCCCAGCCUGACUGCUCUGGUCAGCAGUUUGAACUGUGCUGCCCUGCACCCAGAUAGACAGGCAUCUGCCCCUCCCUCUUUAAAGGACUGGGAAUUUUUGAAAUUCCACUUUGUUUGCUCAGUGUGGACAGCUAAUGUUGCAUCUUUCCAGCUGACCAUGGCAGUUCCAUGCUGCAAAAGCUCUCCCUCCUGGAGCACACCAGAGUUGUUCAAUCUGCUGCGUCUGUAGGGAGAGGAGACUGUGCAGUCCCAGCUCCACUCAAAGGGUAGGAACUUUGAUACCUAUAGUCAAAGUUCUUGUGGCAUGAUGGAUAAGGGCUACAAAUAGGAUAUGCAUCAGUGCUGUGCGAUGAUCAAGGAGCUAAGGCAGGUGUACCAGAAGGCAGAGGAGUUAAACCAUUGUUCUGGUGCUGUGCCAAAGACCUGCCAUUUCUGUUAGGACCUGGACACCAUCCUCGGUGGUGACCCUACCCUAUCUCCAUUGGCAAGAGCCCCAUAAAUACUUCAGCAGGGCUGGAGAUAGUGGCCAGCGGACUCAACCUCAAAGACGAAGUGGUGGAAGAAGAAGUAGGUUGAAGGAUGAGAUGGGACAGACAACUGGUUCAUCUGGUACUGUGAUGAGCCAGGAUUUCUUCUCAAUGGUAGAGGGUUUGAGCCAGUCCUAGCGCUCUGUCUGUGACGCGCAUGAUGCAGGAAAGGGGACCUCUGAUGUGAGAACCCCCUACACACCAGCAGAGCACCUCCACCAGCUAAGGAAGCUACUGAGGAGGAGCAAGGAGGACAUGUUUUGGGAGGUGCUCCAAUCCUCUGUUGCCACAGAGCAAGAACAAAGGGCAUGGAGAGAGUCAGCUAAUGAAGAUUUAAAAAUAGACAGGCAGGAGAGGAAGGAGAGCCAGGAGUAAAUUUUAGUGGUCCAGGAGCAGAUGAUAAAAGUGAUGGAGGAGCAAACAGAGAUGCUGCAGUCCCUGAUCACAGCUUCCAAAUGUUAGCUGGAGUUACACACAGCUAUGAGAGCCUCCAUCAGGAGAGUGCCCUUCAGUGUCAUAUCCCUUUCAACCAAGCAUUUUCUUUGUGUUUAUUGCUAUUUAAUAAAAAAAUACUCUGUGAAAGAUAAUCAAUCUUUAUCUCCUACACACGGGUGGUUGCUGCUGGAAUUAAUACACAGUGGCAAUUGGCAGAUUUGCAGACUACUGUAGUAAGAUGAGGCCCUGAGACAUAAACCCUUGGUAUCAGAGGCCUGGUAUGAGGCAUGAGGCCUGAACUGAAGGAAUUGUCAAGACGUUGCUAAAGCAAAGUUAGGCUGUGAGCCAGAAGCAGGCACUGCUCACAGAAAUUGGCAAGAGCAUAUACACAUGUAAGCACUAAUAAGAUUAACGUAUGCCAGGACAGUACCCAGCCUAAAAACAGUAUAAAAGGACAAUAUGAUGAAUAGACAAUAUGAAAGGACAAUACGAUGAAUAGACUGUAUGAUGGAUAGACUUAUUUGUUCGAACCGAUCUGCACUAGGAGAAAGGCAACACCCUAAUGCAUAGAGGGGCUGUCCCUCAGUGCGUUCAAUGACCUGUUUGUGUCUGUGUAUAAGAAUGCAGCCCUGCGUGGAUGUCUUUGUCUGGCCUAGGGGGCAGUGGAGAGUCCUGCCACUAACUGAGCCAGUCCAUUGUCAGGGUGCACAUAUUCAUAGUAUGUCCUGUAGAGUCUGCGGGAAACUAUUACUGUGCUUCGUUUGACAAUAAACCUGGCCGGGUGCCUUUGUACCUUAUUAGAAUCUGUGGUCACUGGGUGGUUCGCUCGAGAUCUGCUAUGGCAGCUAUCUGCGCAGAGCUGGGACAACACACAAGGAGAACACACACGCAUGCAUCUGACUGUUAUCAACACUGAACAGAGUAGAGCACCACGUCGGUAGCAUCUAAUGAUAUUGGUGACCCUGACGGCUGUUCUGGUGAGUAAGCAAGCUGUCCACUGUAGGAAUCGCGAUCUAACAUGACAGGCAACCAUGAGCUAGGGAACCCACUUAACCCCUCCCUGCAAAUCUCCAUAGAGUUUAAAAAAUAUAAUGGGGAAGAAACAUAUAAUGUAAUUUGUGAGGCUAGGGAAGAGACUGUAGUCUUAAAAUGUAAAAUAUUGCAAAUGAUAACCAUGACUGUUAAAUGGUUAAUACAGCAUGCCACAAAAUUGGCAGAGCACGUAACGGUAAGAAAGAAAGAGUUAAAAGAGUCAAAAGAAGCUACAAAGCCCUGGAAUGCCUUCCCCCGCCCGCCCUUGCAGGGUGGCAAGCAGCCCAGAGAUAACAGUCAUAGAAACAGAAUAAAACAUUGGAAACAGCUGCAAGGAACCUACAAAAACUGCAUGUGUUGUCUUCUUUUAUAAAUAUCUGUGGUCAACAGCAGGCUUCAGGUAGCUACCCUGGGGGACAGAAGUGGAAAAAGGUGGCCCUAGUAAAAUUAAAAGAUGAAGCGGGGUCCACUGCAGUGCAGCUACUACCUUAUGAUAAAAGCCAGGUUCUGGUACAACCUAAACCAGGACCUAGACAGGUGCCUGUCAGAAUGGGACAAGUAAGUGCACAGAUGGAAAAAGUAGCACACAAUACUUUCACUGAAUUGGUAAGUCAGAUGAAGCAAAAAAUGGAACAGUUCACAGUGCACAUUAGGAGACAGGAGCUGCGACUCGAUCGCAGGGGAGUGAAUAAAAAAGAAUUUCAAAACCAAAAACCAAAAUUAACCAGUUUAACACCUAGAAUUGAUGCAUUAACACAUGGAGUUGCCCAAAAACAGUUAACUGCAGCACAAAAGGGCACUCCUGCCAUCCAUUUGGCAUGCACACAAAAGCAACAGACACUGGGGGAACAAAUUCAGGUUUUACAAGAGCAGGUAACUACCCACACUCUCCUCUCAAAGCCAGGAUAAAAACCAGGGGCACAGUUCCCAAAUGUGCAGGUUCCCAGCUGCUUUGACCCACAGAACCACACUCCGCGCUCAUAUCUAAAAAUAUAACAACCUUUCUCAAAUAUUUGUACAUACCGGUUAAGUUUUUUCCUUCAUAUGCUUCCUCAGUUUGCUAAACUCGCUGCUGCCGCCCAUACUUUCAAAUACGUUGAUAGAGUUAAUCUCUCUUGGCUCAGGUCUCACUAUCUUCCUAGGUUGCUCUUCACCCCACCCUCAUUUCCCCUGCCUCUCCUCACUUCGGGUCUCUCUCUUUUGUUUUAAAAAUUAAAAGUUAUAGUUUUUACAGAAACCUCCAAAAGAUAAAGCAAUUGAAAACAGAACAAAACGAGAAACAAAAAGAAAACAAGGUUUCCACGUUUUCAACAGAUUUCCACCUUUGGCUCCCAGACAUAACAAAGCAUCAUGAAAGUUUAAUUCCCUCAAAGUUUUGCAUGGAACUGUAUUUAAAAUGUAUUUUGGUUUAAUUUUAUAGUUAGUUUAAUUUUAUACACUUUUCUUAUGUUAUGUUAAUGAAAAGCAGUGGUUGUUAAAGUUUGUGCUUCUUAACAGUUAACAAGAGUGAACUUGGUAUCACAAGCAAAGUACACCUCUACCUUGAUAUAAUGCUGUCCUCAGGAGCCAAAAAAUGUUACCGUGUUAUAGAUGAAACUGCGUUAUAUCGAACUUGAUUUGAUCUGCUGGAGCGUACAGCCCUGUCCACCCCCCAGAAUGCUGCUUUGCCGCGUUAUAUCCGAAUUUGUGUUAUAACAGGUGGCAUUAUAUCGGGGUAGAAGUGUAACUCUAAAAAGCUUGUUAAAAUUAUGUUACUAAUCCUUUUGCUGAAACAAAGUGUUCAGCAAAGGAAAGAAAUACACCUUCUCAUGGAAGAUUGUGUGCAUCUAUUUUAGCCGUUAUGCAUUACAUUUAGUAUAAAAUAUUAGUAAUGCACCUCGAGUGAAAAUGAAUGUCUGUACUACAAUUGCAAACGUAUAGCUUGUGUAUAAAAGACUUGGUCCCUAUUACAUUGUAAACACUAAAUUAAUCUGUGUAUUACAUUUGGGCUACUAGAAACAAGAGAAAUGUAAAAAUGAACAAACAAAAACUUUAUUAUAUUAACUAACUUAAGAACAAAGACACCAGAAGAUAUCACACCACAAAGACACCAGAGAUAUCUGUAUACAGUUAAGAAACCCCCAUGCAUCAAGAAAAGAAAAAUGAAGUGCUUUAUAAAUAAGAGACUGGUCAAAUACACCUCUAUCUACCAUAUAUGGACAAUUAAUUUAACAAUCAGCUAAAAACCCUUAGCUGGACCAGGAUAAACUGCCAUUUAAUUUCAACUUGUUUACUGUGUAAAAACAACUGUAUUAUUGCUGCACUACUGUAUUAUCAUUGUACUAUUGCUGUAAUGUACUAUUGCUGUACAACAUUUACAAUGUGCAUAACCUUGCUAAACUGUUUAACCAACACACAGGUAAAAAUCAACAAAUGAAUGGCAGCAAACAACAUGAAGGCAAGGAAAAAACAAAUUGGUAAAGAAAUUAAGUUACACAGUAACUACAAUUGGGUAAACAAAUUCCGUGUUAGUACCCGUCAUAAUUUGGAUUAUUGACACUGCAUCCUAACUAAGACACAUGUUAUUCAAAACAAUCUGGCUCUAUGUCUGGAUACCAAUACUACACAGCAAUAUUUGAUAAAUUGGUUACUGUCUGUCAUAAUAUAAUUCCCAAUUCUGAACCUUAGCGUCCAAAAUAUGGGUACUAGCAUGAAUUCCCCUAAGCUUAAUUACCAGCUUAGAUCCUGUAGUGCUGCCACCAAUCAGGACUUAGAGUGCCUGAUAA